Molecule: ribosomal RNA, 253 nt
Filed under: uncultured bacterium
Lineage: Bacteria
Description: partial 16S ribosomal RNA
Rfam family: Bacterial small subunit ribosomal RNA
Source: RNAcentral
UACGGGGGGAGCAAGCGUUGUUCGGAUUUACUGGGCGUAAAGCGCGCGUAGGCGGACCUGCAAGUCGGGGGUGAAAGCCCGAGGCUCAACCUCGGAACUGCCUUCGAUACUGCGGGUCUCGAGUCCGGGAGAGGUGAGUGGAAUUCCUAGUGUAGAGGUGAAAUUCGUAGAUAUUAGGAAGAACACCAGUGGCGAAGGCGGCUCACUGGCUCGGUACUGACGCUGAGGCGCGAAAGCGUGGGGAGCAAACAGG